RNAcentral lists this ribosomal RNA (384 nucleotides) under uncultured bacterium. RNAcentral's name for it is "bacterial SSU rRNA". It matches the Rfam family "Bacterial small subunit ribosomal RNA", at positions 30 to 416 of the family's 1533-position model. The record is from RNAcentral.
AUUGAACGCUGGCGGAAUGCUUUACACAUGCAAGUCGAACGGCAGCACGGGUCAACCUGGUGGCGAGUGGCGAACGGGUGAGUAAUACAUCGGAACGUGCCCAAUCGUGGGGGGAUAACGUAGCGAAAGUUACGCUAAUACCGCAUACGAUCUACGGAUGAAAGCGGGGGAUCGCAAGACCUCGCGCGAAUGGAGCGGCCGAUGUCAGAUUAGGUAGUUGGUGGGGUAAAGGCUCACCAAGCCAAUGAUCUGUAGCUGGUCUGAGAGGACGACCAGCCACACUGGAACUGAGACACGGUCCAGACUCCUACGGGAGGCAGCAGUGGGGAAUUUUGGACAAUGGGCGCAAGCCUGAUCAGCCAUUCCGCGUGCAGGAUGAAGGCC